This 119-nucleotide ribosomal RNA is filed under the name Nicotiana attenuata. The record is from RNAcentral. Lineage: Eukaryota; Viridiplantae; Streptophyta; Magnoliopsida; Solanales; Solanaceae.
GGAUGCGAUCAUACCAGCACUAACGCACCGGAUCCCAUCAGAACUCCGAAGAUAAGCGUGCUUGGGCGAGAGUAGUACUAGGAUGGGUGACCCCCUGGGAAGUCCUCGUGUUGCAUCCC